This 506-nucleotide ribosomal RNA is filed under the name uncultured bacterium. Its description in RNAcentral is "partial 16S ribosomal RNA". It matches the Rfam family "Bacterial small subunit ribosomal RNA", at positions 29 to 523 of the family's 1533-position model. The record is from RNAcentral.
AGUGAACGCUGGCGGCAGGCCUAAUACAUGCAAGUCGAACGGCAGCACAGCAGAGCUUGCUCUGUGGGUGGCGAGUGGCGGACGGGUGAGGAAUACAUGGGAAUCUGCCCAGUCGUGGGGGAUAACGUAGGGAAACUUACGCUAAUACCGCAUGCGCCCUUCGGGGGAAAGCCGGGGACCUUCGGGCCUGGCGCGAUUGGAUGAGCCCAUGUCGGAUUAGCUAGUUGGCGGGGUAAAGGCCCACCAAGGCGACGAUCCGUAGCUGGUCUGAGAGGAUGAUCAGCCACACUGGAACUGAGACACGGUCCAGACUCCUACGGGAGGCAGCAGUAGGGAAUAUUGGACAAUGGGCGCAAGCCUGAUCCAGCCAUGCCGCGUGAGUGAAGAAGGCCCUCGGGUUGUAAAGCUCUUUUGUCCGGAAAGAAAAGCGCCGGGUUAAUACCCUGGUGUCCUGACGGUACCGGAAGAGUAAGCACCGGCUAACUUCGUGCCAGCCGCCGCCGUAA